This 1080-nucleotide long non-coding RNA is filed under the name Rosa chinensis. Its description in RNAcentral is "sRNA RchiOBHm_CPg0501981". Lineage: Eukaryota; Viridiplantae; Streptophyta; Magnoliopsida; Rosales; Rosaceae. The record is from RNAcentral.
GCAUUGCAUACGGCUCUAUAAUGGAAUUCGCUUUUUUUACCUUACCUUACUUACAUCGAAGAAAUAGAAAAUAAAUGAUAGGGUCUAUCAGACUCGGGUUGGUAAAUGAUCCAAUAACCAUCCUUCCUUUUGUAGUAGUUCAAAAAUACUAUAAAAAUACUAUGAUGGUUCCGUUGCUUUAUAUAUUUAUUUCAUCUGUUAUUUAGCAAUCCCAAAGUUUCUUUUUUUUUUUUUUCAAAUAAAAAACAAGAUUUAUUUUCAUAUUCUUUCAUAACCUAAAAAUUGUUAAGAUUAAGAGCCCCUGCUGUGAAAACAAAAAAGUUUGUGACGCUGAAAUAGGCCUCCCGAUAGAUUGGCUAAAAUCGAAAAUGCCUUUUUAUCUCAUACUACUCUUUCGAUACGUAAUCUAAGGUUUAAAAAAAAUUUCUCAUAUCGAAUUCGAAGUGCCAUGCUAUUAUUACUUAAUAUUCAUAUAGUGCGAAGGCAUAGUUUUCUUUUUUUCUCUCAAAUCAAAUAAAAAACUCAUUGGCGCCGAGCGUGAGGGAAUGCUAGACGUUUGGUAAUUUCCCCUCCAACAAGAAUAAAAGAUCCCAUCGAAGCGGCUAAUCCCAUGCAUAUUGUCUGUAUAUCUGGUCGCACAAAUUGCAUAGUAUCAUAAAUAGCUACUCCGGGUAUUACCCAUCCGCCAGGAGAGUUUAUAAACAAAUACAGAUCUUUGGUAUCAUCCUCUAUGCUGAGAUAUACCAUAAGACCAAUAAGUUGAUUCGAGAUCUCGCUAUCAACCCCUUGGCCUAAAAAAAGUAAUCUUUCUCGAUAAAGUCGGUUGAUUGGGAUAAAACGAUAUCCCUUAGAAACCGUACAUGCACCUUUUGAUGCAUACGUCGCACUAUACGUCAAUCCACAAUGCAUCUUCCUCUCCAGGACUUCGAAAAGGUACUCUUGGAACACCAAUAGGCAUUAAAUAAAAGAAAAAUUAAGUACUAUAUCUCACUUUGAUGUGAAAGCGUAACAGUGGGUUUAGUGGCCUAAUACUAUUGAUUUUAUUAUCCUAUUUUCUCCAUAGAUUGACUAAGUUCAUAA